CCGCAUAACAUUUUCAUUCUUCAGUCAAAGACUUUGCUAUGGCUUCCAAACUAUGACCUAAGUAUACAAAACAACAGGUUCUUAUGGAACUGUGGGACCAUAGGAAUCUCUUUAAAGAAGACACUCUUUUAAAGUGUAUCCUGUCUGCCUCGCUUCACCCCCAGCUGGUUGCAGCAGAUGUCUGCCACCGCCCCCCACCCCCCGAUUCUGCCGGAGGUUCUUCCUGUGAAAAAGGAGUUUUUCCAUCCACUAUCACCAGGUGCUUGUAGAAGCUCAUCUGAUUGUUGGGGUUUUCUCCAUAUUAUUGUAGGUCGUUAUCUUAAUGACUGCUGUUGUGAUUUGCUUCUGUAUAGAUAAAAGUGAAUUGAAAUGAAAAAGAACUUUGAAAGAAAAUUUAUUUCUCUUCCUGUUUCAAAUUCUUCCAUUCCUGCACCAGCACUGACAUUUAUUUUUUUUUACUGAGCAGUAACACCCAUAGAUCAGGAGAAGACUGCUGUGAGUCCUGCACACCUCAAGCGCCAGCAGAAGCAGUGACUGUCAGAGUUGGCAUACGCAAAAGCCAACACACCAUGAAUGAGGCUUUACGGUGAUUUUGAAAUGGUAUGACUUCAUAGUUUGUCCAGCAGAGCCAUUUCAUCAUUUAUAACAAGUGUAGCAGAGCAUGCAUCAUUGGUGAGCAGACAGAUGGUGGCGUGGAAUAAAGUGGCCUUUUCAAAACUUUUAGCUUGAUGUUCAAAGCGCUAUUAUUUAACUCAUAAUGUAUUUAUGAGUCAAUACUUUUCUCGUUGAUAUUUAAGCAGCACACAAUUUUUCUUCAAUUUUAAAGUGACAAACUGCUACAUGUCUGCAUCCUAGAAUUGAGCAUGGUGUACAGGGUACAGAAAUAAGGCAUUGGGGAUAACAGACAUCUAUCCAAACCUAGGUGAAGGUGCUCAAAACUUUAGGCCCUUGUCCAUUAGUACCUACUAGGACUAACUUGCCACACUUU
Molecule: long non-coding RNA, 988 nt
Organism: Oreochromis niloticus (Nile tilapia)
Lineage: Eukaryota; Metazoa; Chordata; Actinopteri; Cichliformes; Cichlidae
Exons: 3
Source: RefSeq, a predicted model, not a curated record